RNAcentral lists this ribosomal RNA (917 nucleotides) under uncultured archaeon. RNAcentral describes it as "bacterial SSU rRNA". It matches the Rfam family "Archaeal small subunit ribosomal RNA", at positions 1 to 923 of the family's 1478-position model. The record is from RNAcentral.
UUCCGGUUGAUCCCGCCGGAGGCUACCGCUAUUGGAGUUCGAUUAAGCCAUGCGAGUCGCGAGAAAUUAGAUUCUCGGCGUACCGCUCAGUAACACGUGGGUAACCUGCCCUAUGCUGGAUAAUAACCUCGGGAAACUGAGAAUAAUGAUCCAUAGUUCACUACGCCUGGAACGGUGAGUGGAUGAAAGCCCCGGCGGCAUAGGAUGGGCCUGCGGCGUAUCAGGUUGUAGGGGGUGUAACGUACCCUCUAGCCCUCUACGCGUACGGGUGUUGGGAGACAUAGCCCGGAGAUGGAUUCUGAGACACGAAUCCAGACCCUACGGGGUGCAGCAGGCGCGAAAACUUGGCAAUGCGAGAAAUCGUGACCAGGGAACUCCAAGUGCAUCGGGUAAGACCGGUGCUUUUCUUGACUCUAAAUAGGUCUUGGAAUAAGGGGUGGGUAAGGACGGUGCCAGCCGCCGCGGUAAUACCGGCGCCUCAAGUGGUAGUCGCUUUUAUUGGGCCUAAAACGUCCGUAGCCGGUCUGAUACAUUCGUGGGUAAAUCAACCAGCUCAACUGGUUGAAUUCUGCGAGGACGGUCAGACUUGGGACCGGGAGAGGUGUGGGGUACGCUCAGGGUAGGGGUAAAAUCCUGUCAUCCUGAGCGGACCACCUGUUGCGAAGGCGCCACACUAGAACGGAUCCGACGGUCAGGGACGAAGCCUAGGGGCACGAACCGGAUUAGAUACCCGGGUAGUCCUAGGUGUAAACGCUGUGGACUUGAUGUUGGGGGUGCUCCGAGCACUCUCAGUGUCGAAGCGAAAGUGAUAAGUCCACUGCCUGGGAAGUACGGUCGCAAGGCUGAAACUUAAAGGAAUUGGCGGGGGAGCACCGCAACCUGAGGAUUGUGCGGUUUAAUUGGAUUCAACGCCCGGA